GGCCGGAUAAGGCGUUUACGCCGCAUUCGACAACCAACGCCUGAUGCGACGCUUGCGCGUCUUAUCAGGCC
RNAcentral lists this non-coding RNA (71 nucleotides) under Escherichia coli. Its description in RNAcentral is "Nucleoid-associated noncoding RNA 4 (CssrE)". It matches the Rfam family "Nucleoid-associated noncoding RNA 4 (CssrE)". Rfam says of the family: In E. coli small RNA transcribed from repeated extragenic palindromic element (REP325) called nucleoid-associated ncRNA 4 (nRNA4) collaborates HU protein in condensing the DNA. The record is from RNAcentral. Lineage: Bacteria; Pseudomonadati; Pseudomonadota; Gammaproteobacteria; Enterobacterales; Enterobacteriaceae.